GAAAUGAGUCUGACUUGUAUGA
This 22-nucleotide microRNA is filed under the name Pristionchus pacificus. RNAcentral describes it as "ppc-miR-8353-3p". Lineage: Eukaryota; Metazoa; Nematoda; Chromadorea; Rhabditida; Neodiplogasteridae. The record is from miRBase by way of RNAcentral.